GGAGCUUGCUCCCGGAUGUUAGCGGCGGACGGGUGAGUAACACGUGGGUAACCUGCCUGUAAGACUGGGAUAACUCCGGGAAACCGGAGCUAAUACCGGAUAGUUCCUUGAACCGCAUGGUUCAAGGAUGAAAGACGGUUUCGGCUGUCACUUACAGAUGGACCCGCGGCGCAUUAGCUAGUUGGUGAGGUAACGGCUCACCAAGGCGACGAUGCGUAGCCGACCUGAGAGGGUGAUCGGCCACACUGGGACUGAGACACGGCCCAGACUCCUACGGGAGGCAGCAGUAGGGAAUCUUCCGCAAUGGACGAAAGUCUGACGGAGCAACGCCGCGUGAGUGAUGAAGGUUUUCGGAUCGUAAAGCUCUGUUGUUAGGGAAGAACAAGUGCAAGAGUAACUGCUUGCACCUUGACGGUACCUAACCAGAAAGCCACGGCUAACUACGUGCCAGCAGCCGCGGUAAUACGUAGGUGGCAAGCGUUGUCCGGAAUUAUUGGGCGUAAAGGGCUCGCAGGCGGUUUCUUAAGUCUGAUGUGAAAGCCCCCGGCUCAACCGGGGAGGGUCAUUGGAAACUGGGAAACUUGAGUGCAGAAGAGGAGAGUGGAAUUCCACGUGUAGCGGUGAAAUGCGUAGAGAUGUGGAGGAACACCAGUGGCGAAGGCGACUCUCUGGUCUGUAACUGACGCUGAGGAGCGAAAGCGUGGGGAGCGAACAGGAUUAGAUACCCUGGUAGUCCACGCCGUAAACGAUGAGUGCUAAGUGUUAGGGGGUUUCCGCCCCUUAGUGCUGCAGCUAACGCAUUAAGCACUCCGCCUGGGGAGUACGGUCGCAAGACUGAAACUCAAAGGAAUUGACGGGGGCCCGCACAAGCGGUGGAGCAUGUGGUUUAAUUCGAAGCAACGCGAAGAACCUUACCAGGUCUUGACAUCCUCUGACAACCCUAGAGAUAGGGCUUUCCCUUCGGGGACAGAGUGACAGGUGGUGCAUGGUUGUCGUCAGCUCGUGUCGUGAGAUGUUGGGUUAAGUCCCGCAACGAGCGCAACCCUUGAUCUUAGUUGCCAGCAUUCAGUUGGGCACUCUAAGGUGACUGCCGGUGACAAACCGGAGGAAGGUGGGGAUGACGUCAAAUCAUCAUGCCCCUUAUGACCUGGGCUACACACGUGCUACAAUGGACAGAACAAAGGGCUGCGAGACCGCAAGGUUUAGCCAAUCCCACAAAUCUGUUCUCAGUUCGGAUCGCAGUCUGCAACUCGACUGCGUGAAGCUGGAAUCGCUAGUAAUCGCGGAUCAGCAUGCCGCGGUGAAUACG
This 1309-nucleotide ribosomal RNA is filed under the name Bacillus sp. (in: firmicutes). RNAcentral describes it as "bacterial SSU rRNA". It matches the Rfam family "Bacterial small subunit ribosomal RNA", at positions 75 to 1370 of the family's 1533-position model. The record is from RNAcentral. Lineage: Bacteria; Bacillati; Bacillota; Bacilli; Caryophanales; Bacillaceae.